UACGUAGGGUGCGAGCGUUAAUCGGAAUUACUGGGCGUAAAGCGUGCGCAGGCGGUGAUGUAAGACAGAUGUGAAAUCCCCGGGCUCAACCUGGGACCUGCAUUUGCGACUGCAUCGCUAGAGUACGGUAGAGGAGGAUGGAAUUCCGCGUGUAGCAGUGAAAUGCGUAGAUAUGCGGAGGAACACCGAUGGCGAAGGCAAUCCCCUGGACCUGUACUGACGCUCAUGCACGAAAGCGUGGGGAGCAAACAGG
Molecule: ribosomal RNA, 253 nt
Filed under: uncultured bacterium
Lineage: Bacteria
Description: partial 16S ribosomal RNA
Rfam family: Bacterial small subunit ribosomal RNA
Source: RNAcentral